RNAcentral lists this ribosomal RNA (701 nucleotides) under uncultured bacterium. Its description in RNAcentral is "bacterial SSU rRNA". It matches the Rfam family "Bacterial small subunit ribosomal RNA", at positions 70 to 764 of the family's 1533-position model. The record is from RNAcentral.
AGAAAGUAGCUUGCUACUUUGCUGACGAGCGGCGGACGGGUGAGUAAUGCCUGGGAAUAUGCCUUGANGUGGGGGAUAACUAUUGGAAACGAUAGCUAAUACCGCAUAAUGUCUUCGGACCAAAGAGGGGGAUCUUCGGACCUCUCGCGUCAAGAUUAGCCCAGGUGAGAUUAGCUAGUUGGUGGGGUAAGAGCUCACCAAGGCGACGAUCUCUAGCUGGUCUGAGAGGAUGAUCAGCCACACUGGAACUGAGACACGGUCCAGACUCCUACGGGAGGCAGCAGUGGGGAAUAUUGCACAAUGGGCGAAAGCCUGAUGCAGCCAUGCCGCGUGUAUGAAGAAGGCCUUCGGGUUGUAAAGUACUUUCAGUCGUGAGGAAGGGUGUGCAGUUAAUAGCUGUACAUCUUGACGUUAGCGACAGAAGAAGCACCGGCUAACUCCGUGCCAGCAGCCGCGGUAAUACGGAGGGUGCGAGCGUUAAUCGGAAUUACUGGGCGUAAAGCGCAUGCAGGUGGUUCAUUAAGUCAGAUGUGAAAGCCCGGGGCUCAACCUCGGAACCGCAUUUGAAACUGGUGAACUAGAGUGCUGUAGAGGGGGGUAGAAUUUCAGGUGUAGCGGUGAAAUGCGUAGAGAUCUGAAGGAAUACCAGUGGCGAAGGCGGCCCCCUGGACAGACACUGACACUCAGAUGCGAAAGCGUGG